This 348-nucleotide unclassified non-coding RNA is filed under the name soil metagenome. RNAcentral describes it as "partial contains 5.8S ribosomal RNA, internal transcribed spacer 2, and large subunit ribosomal RNA". The stretch from base 1 to 120 matches the Rfam family "5.8S ribosomal RNA", at positions 35 to 154 of the family's 154-position model. The record is from RNAcentral.
GAUGAAGAACGUAGCGAAAUGCGAUACGUAAUGUGAAUUGCAGAAUUCAGUGAAUCAUCGAAUCUUUGAACGCACAUUGCGCCCGCCAGUAUUCUGGCGGGCAUGCCUGUCUGAGCGUCAUUUCAACCCUCAUGCCCCUAGGGCGUGGUGUUGGGGAUCGGCCAAAGCCCGCGAGGGACGGCCGGCCCCUAAAUCUAGUGGCGGACCCGUCGUGGCCUCCUCUGCGAAGUAGUGAUAUUCCGCAUCGGAGAGCGACGAGCCCCUGCCGUUAAACCCCCAACUUUCCAAGGUUGACCUCAGAUCAGGUAGGAAUACCCGCUGAACUUAAGCAUAUCAAUAAGCGGAGGA